GAUGAACGCUGGCGGCGUGCUUAACACAUGCAAGUCGAACGGAAAGGCCCAAGCUUGCUUGGGUACUCGAGUGGCGAACGGGUGAGUAACACGUGGGUGAUCUGCCCUGCACUUCGGGAUAAGCCUGGGAAACUGGGUCUAAUACCGGAUAGGACCACUUCUUGGAUGGUGUGGUGGAAAGUUUUUUCGGUGUGGGAUGAGCUCGCGGCCUAUCAGCUUGUUGGUGGGGUAAUGGCCUACCAAGGCGUCGACGGGUAGCCGGCCUGAGAGGGUGUACGGCCACAUUGGGACUGGGAUACGGCCCAGACUCCUACGGGAGGCAGCAGUGGGGAAUAUUGCACAAUGGGCGCAAGCCUGAUGCAGCGACGCCGCGUGGGGGAUGACGGCCUUCGGGUUGUAAACUCCUUUCGCUAGGGACGAAGCGUUUUGUGACGGUACCUGGAGAAGAAGCACCGGCUAACUACGUG
Molecule: ribosomal RNA, 467 nt
Filed under: uncultured bacterium
Lineage: Bacteria
Description: partial 16S ribosomal RNA
Rfam family: Bacterial small subunit ribosomal RNA
Source: RNAcentral